This is a long non-coding RNA of Salvia splendens (bonfire salvia), 172 nucleotides long. RefSeq lists it as uncharacterized. The record is from RefSeq and is a predicted model, not a curated record. Lineage: Eukaryota; Viridiplantae; Streptophyta; Magnoliopsida; Lamiales; Lamiaceae. The transcript has 3 exons.
UUUCAAUUCAGUCGGUCGAGACUCUCAUUCUAGGGUUUGUUUUCGAUCUUCUCCAAGAAUAUAUUUAUUUUUAAUACUUUUGUUUGCCGAAGCUUGGGGAUAAGGAGCCUCCUGGGUCGUUUGUUUAAUUAUAAUCAUCAUCUAUUUGAAAAAUUGAAUGAUCUGAUGGAGU